Molecule: ribosomal RNA, 437 nt
Filed under: uncultured Diversispora
Lineage: Eukaryota; Fungi; Glomeromycota; Glomeromycetes; Diversisporales; Diversisporaceae
Description: SSU rRNA
Rfam family: Eukaryotic small subunit ribosomal RNA
Source: RNAcentral
CGCAGCCGCGGUAAUUCCAGCUCCAAUAGCGUAUAUUAAAGUUGUUGCAGUUAAAAAGCUCGUAGUUGAACUUCGGGGUUUACCCAUUGGUCAGGCUUAAUUGUCUGCACUGGUGAGAUGAAUCUCUACCUUCUGAGGAACUUUCAUGCCAUUUAUUUGGUGUGAUGGGAAAUCAGGACUGUUACUUUGAAAAAUUGAGUGUUUAAAGCAGGCUAACGUCUGAAUACAUUAGCAUGGAAUAAUGAAAUAGGACGGACUGAUUCUAUUUCGUUGGUUUCUAGGAUCACCGUAAUGAUUAAUAGGGAUAGUUGGGGGCAUUAGUAUUCAAUUGUCAGAGGUGAAAUUCUUGGAUUUAUUGAAGACUAACUACUGCGAAAGCAUUUGCCAAGGAUGUUUUCAUUAAUCAAGAACGAAAGUUAGGGGAUCGAAGACGAUCA